Drosophila arizonae is the source of this 144-nucleotide long non-coding RNA. The record is from RefSeq and is a predicted model, not a curated record. NCBI's taxonomy places the organism in Eukaryota, Metazoa, Arthropoda, Insecta, Diptera, Drosophilidae.
UCGCGCGAGAAACUUCGCUUUAAGUGCGCGGAAGGUUUUUUAUGGUAGAGAAACCCACGAGCGCGCCUUUAUUUUCAAUAAUUUCCGCGAAAUAUUACGAAAUACUAGAAUAAAGAGAGAAGCAAAAAACAAAAAUAAACAAAU